RNAcentral lists this small RNA (127 nucleotides) under Marmota monax (woodchuck). Lineage: Eukaryota; Metazoa; Chordata; Mammalia; Rodentia; Sciuridae. The record is from RNAcentral.
GCUGGGCGCGGUGGCCCACACCUGUCAUCCUGGCUGCUCGGGAGGCUGAGGCAGGAGGAUCUUGGGUUCAAGGCCACCCUCAGCUACCUAGCAAGGCCCCAAGCCACUCAGUGAGACCCUGUCUCUA